RNAcentral lists this ribosomal RNA (269 nucleotides) under uncultured prokaryote. RNAcentral's name for it is "partial 16S ribosomal RNA". It matches the Rfam family "Bacterial small subunit ribosomal RNA", at positions 524 to 792 of the family's 1533-position model. The record is from RNAcentral.
UACGUAGGGUGCAAGCGUUAUCCGGAAUUAUUGGGCGUAAAGCGUUCGUAGGCGGUUUGGAAAGUUUGUAGUUAAAUCUGGUCGCUCAACGAUCAAAUCGUUACAAAAACUUCCAAACUAGAGAUUGGCAGAGGCAACUGGAAUUCCGCAUGUAGGGGUAAAAUCCGUUGAUAUGCGGAGGAACACCAAAAGCGAAGGCAGGUUGCUGGGCCAUUUCUGACGCUGAGGAACGAAAGCGUGGGGAGCAAACAGGAUUAGAUACCCCUGUA